This 226-nucleotide long non-coding RNA is filed under the name Brassica napus (rape). RNAcentral's name for it is "long non-coding RNA (BNAP_LNC005103)". Lineage: Eukaryota; Viridiplantae; Streptophyta; Magnoliopsida; Brassicales; Brassicaceae. The record is from RNAcentral.
GUCACAACGUAAGCUCUUUCCGUUCAUUUAAUGAAUCAACGGUUUCACAACUACAUUAUGAUCAAGAUGAAGUCUAGUUUCAGUCUACGUACGCCUAUCGUAUUUCAGGGUUGGGGUGCGGCAGGCCUUGUCAGUGUCCCCAACACGAAUUAACUUGUUGAGCCAGAGGACGCUCGGAGGUACUUAUUAAAAAUUUAAAAUUAAAACGUCGAUGUUCUAGGGGUAU